RNAcentral lists this ribosomal RNA (521 nucleotides) under uncultured bacterium. RNAcentral's name for it is "bacterial SSU rRNA". It matches the Rfam family "Bacterial small subunit ribosomal RNA", at positions 777 to 1297 of the family's 1533-position model. The record is from RNAcentral.
AAUAGAUACCCCGGUAGUCCACGCCGUAAACGAUGAGUGCUAAGUGUUAGAGGGUUUCCGCCCUUUAGUGCUGAAGUUAACGCAUUAAGCACUCCGCCUGGGGAGUACGGCCGCAAGGCUGAAACUCAAAGGAAUUGACGGGGGCCCGCACAAGCGGUGGAGCAUGUGGUUUAAUUCGAAGCAACGCGAAGAACCUUACCAGGUCUUGACAUCCUCUGACAACCCUAGAGAUAGGGCUUCUCCUUCGGGAGCAGAGUGACAGGUGGUGCAUGGUUGUCGUCAGCUCGUGUCGUGAGAUGUUGGGUUAAGUCCCGCAACGAGCGCAACCCUUGAUCUUAGUUGCCAUCAUUAAGUUGGGCACUCUAAGGUGACUGCCGGUGACAAACCGGAGGAAGGUGGGGAUGACGUCAAAUCAUCAUGCCCCUUAUGAUCUGGGCUACACACGUGCUACAAUGGACGGUACAAAGAGCUGCAAGACCGCGAGGUGGAGCUAAUCUCAUAAAACCCGUUCUCAGUUCGGA